RNAcentral lists this ribosomal RNA (715 nucleotides) under Radulinus asprellus (slim sculpin). RNAcentral describes it as "partial 12S ribosomal RNA". It matches the Rfam family "Bacterial small subunit ribosomal RNA", at positions 327 to 1345 of the family's 1533-position model. The record is from RNAcentral. Lineage: Eukaryota; Metazoa; Chordata; Actinopteri; Perciformes; Cottidae.
UGCCCCACAGUUCCCCGCCCGGGAACAAGGAGCUGGUAUCAGGCACAUCUAUUGAGCCCAUGACACCUUGCUUAGCCACACCCUCAAGGGAACUCAGCAGUGAUAAACAUUAAGCCAUAAGUGAAAACUUGACUUAGUUAAAGCUAAGAGGGCCGGUAAAACUCGUGCCAGCCACCGCGGUUAUACGAGAGGCCCAAGUUGACAAACACCGGCGUAAAGAGUGGUUAAGUUAAAACUCACACUAAAGCCAAACAUCUUCAAGGCUGUUAUACGCAACCGAAGACAGGAAGUUCAACCACGAAAGUGGCUUUAUCGAAGCUGAACCCACGAAAGCUAAGGAACAAACUGGGAUUAGAUACCCCACUAUGCCUAGCCCUAAACAUUGAUAGUACUCUACACCCACUAUCCGCCCGGGAACUACGAGCAAUAGCUUAAAACCCAAAGGACUUGGCGGUGCUUUAGAUCCACCUAGAGGAGCCUGUUCUAGAACCGAUAACCCCCGUUCAACCUCACCCUUCCUUGUUUAACCCGCCUAUAUACCGCCGUCGUCAGCUUACCCUGUGAGGGUCUAAUAGUAAGCAAAACUGGUACAACCUAAAACGUCAGGUCGAGGUGUAGCGUAUGGAGGGGGAAGAAAUGGGCUACAUUCGCUACUACAGCGAACACGAAUGAUGUACUGAAACGUACGUCUGAAGGAGGAUUUAGCAGUAAGCAG